GACGAACGCUGGCGGUGUGCUUCACACAUGCAAGUCGAACGAGGUAGCAAUACCUAGUGGCGGACGGGUGAGUAACGCGUGGGAAUCUGCCUUUAGAUGGGGGAUAACGGGUCGAAAGACUCGCUAAUACCGCAUAUGACGAAAGUUGAAAGGAGUAAUCCGUCUAAAGAUGAGCCCGCGUCCGAUUAGCUAGUUGGUAGAGUAAAAGCCUACCAAGGCGACGAUCGGUAGCUGGUCUGAGAGGAUGAUCAGCCACAAUGGGAACUAGAGACACGGCCCAUACUCCUACGGAGGCAGCAGUGGGAAUUUACGCAAUGGCGAAAGCCUGACGUAGCGACACCGCGUGAGCGAAGAAGCCC
Molecule: ribosomal RNA, 359 nt
Filed under: uncultured bacterium
Lineage: Bacteria
Description: bacterial SSU rRNA
Rfam family: Bacterial small subunit ribosomal RNA
Source: RNAcentral